Molecule: ribosomal RNA, 624 nt
Filed under: uncultured Veillonella sp.
Lineage: Bacteria; Bacillati; Bacillota; Negativicutes; Veillonellales; Veillonellaceae
Description: bacterial SSU rRNA
Rfam family: Bacterial small subunit ribosomal RNA
Source: RNAcentral
GAAUUGACGGGGGCCCGCACAAGCGGUGGAGUAUGUGGUUUAAUUCGACGCAANCGCGAAGAACCUUACCAGGUCUUGACAUUGAUGGACAGAACUAGAGAUAGUUCCUCUUCUUCGGAAGCCAGAAAACAGGUGGUGCACGGUUGUCGUCAGCUCGUGUCGUGAGAUGUUGGGUUAAGUCCCGCAACGAGCGCAACCCCUAUCUUAUGUUGCCAGCACGUAAUGGUGGGAACUCAUGAGAGACUGCCGCAGACAAUGCGGAGGAAGGCGGGGAUGACGUCAAAUCAUCAUGCCCCUUAUGACCUGGGCUACACACGUACUACAAUGGGCUUUAAUAGAGGGAAGCGAAGUCGCGAGGCGGAGCAAACCCCAGAAACAAGCUCUCAGUUCGGAUCGUAGGCUGCAACUCGCCUACGUGAAGUCGGAAUCGCUAGUAAUCGCAGGUCAGCAUACUGCGGUGAAUACGUUCCCGGGCCUUGUACACACCGCCCGUCACACCACGAAAGUCGGAAGUGCCCAAAGCCGGUGGGGUAACCUUCGGGAGCCAGCCGUCUAAGGUAAAGUCGAUGAUUGGGGUGAAGUCGUAACAAGGUAGCCGUAUCGGAAGGUGCGGCUGGAUCACCU